Molecule: long non-coding RNA, 1269 nt
Organism: Hylaeus volcanicus
Lineage: Eukaryota; Metazoa; Arthropoda; Insecta; Hymenoptera; Colletidae
Exons: 3
Source: RefSeq, a predicted model, not a curated record
CCUAACAUCAAUGUUAAUGUGUUCUACAUUGCUUUUUUUUUUAAUAGCUUUAAUUUUUACCUUAGCAGCUUCAUAAUCCAAAGAAUCACCUCGAAACUAUGAAAAAGUAGAAAUACGUUUUUCUUUGCUUUUGUGACGAUGUCGCGGCGUAAUUUUUUAAGAGACGCUUUUGUCUACGAUAAAUCAUUCCAUACAUUGGCUGUAAAUUGGAGUGAGCGUCCAGACACUAAAGACCCACCUUCUCAGGCAUUAUGUUUUUAUUGAAACCAAACACACAUAAUUCCAAAACGUACGGGAACAAGGUGGUGGAAGGCAUAGCACAACAGAGUUGAAGUAGCACACUUGCAAAAAGAAAAAAAGCCUUUAAAUGAACCUUGUUGUUACUAAGAUUUGUUACCCGUGUUUAAUUUCAGGGUAACGCGGGGAUUCAAUGAGAUCCGAUACAAUGCAAUAAUUCAAGUCAUCACAAGGAAUACAUUGGAGAAGCUGACAAAACUAACAAGAGACUUUUGGGCUUGCGUAGAUCUAAAAGAUGAGUAGAAAAACUUACACUAGGGCAUGCAGAGAAAAUGAGUUCAGGGAUUAAUUUAGCAUCGGAUAACACAGAAUAGCCUGGAGGAAUAUCAUUAACUUUUUGAACAUUGAGUGUUUCAACCUUUUGUUUUGAAGAAAAAAAAAAGAAAAAGUCUUAAUGAAAAAGUCAUGUCAAUUGACUGGAUCUUACAAUGGUUGGAAAAGUUUCCAGUAAUGAUUUGAGUUGAAGACGUUGACCGAUAAGUAAAGUGAAUUUUGGCUACAAGAGAAAAUUCAAUCACCGUUUCAUACGGAUUUAUUAAAAAAGAAAAGAACCAACGUACACUCAUUGGUAGCCUCAUUUCAAUAUGAAGCAGAUCCGUUUUAUGCCGAAUCGUUGAUAGGAGUGUUUGCCAGCAGCAUUGUCGAGCUAAUAACUAAAAAUAACCAUUUUCUAAAGAAAAAUAAAAAAGAAUCGAGUCACCUCAAAUCGAACAAGUAAAUAUGUGCAAAAGGGAUGACAUGUAGCAAAAUAUUCAUAGUGACUCCAACCGUAGGAUCUACGAAAGAGAAUGGAUGUGAAUCACGCUCAAUAAUACAAAAUAACACCACUUUAAAAGACUUGUCGGAAAUGCAGCUUGUUUAAAAGAGCAAGCAGCAAUUGUAUGCAAUGCAUUAGCAUAGUUUAAGGAAAUUUGUUUAUUUUGAUGACGACCACGUAGCAUAAAACUAAAAACGAAAAGGACUACAAGACAA